CUAACUGACUUUUGGGGUGGCAGAGUAUGGCAAUUGCAAAAGACCUAAAACCUUGUUCUCGAGGGUUCAAAUCCCUCCCCCAAUA
RNAcentral lists this transfer RNA (85 nucleotides) under Isthmura sierraoccidentalis (Sonoran false brook salamander). RNAcentral's name for it is "tRNA-Leu". The stretch from base 11 to 85 matches the Rfam family "tRNA". Rfam says of the family: Transfer RNA (tRNA) molecules are approximately 80 nucleotides in length. Their secondary structure includes four short double-helical elements and three loops (D, anti-codon, and T loops). The record is from RNAcentral. Lineage: Eukaryota; Metazoa; Chordata; Amphibia; Caudata; Plethodontidae.